RNAcentral lists this ribosomal RNA (370 nucleotides) under uncultured bacterium. RNAcentral describes it as "bacterial SSU rRNA". It matches the Rfam family "Bacterial small subunit ribosomal RNA", at positions 30 to 398 of the family's 1533-position model. The record is from RNAcentral.
AUUGAACGCUGGCGGCAUGCCUUACACAUGCAAGUCGAACGGUAGCGCGGGGGCAACCCUGGCGACGAGUGGCGAACGGGUGAGUAAAGUAUCGGAACGUGCCCUAGAGUGGGGGAGUAACUAGUCGAAAGACUAGCUAAUACCGCAUACGAUCUAUGGAUGAAAGUGGGGGAUCGCAAGACCUCAUGCUCAUGGAGCGGCCGAUAUCUGAUUAGCUAGNGGUAGGGUAAAAGACCUACCAAGGCGACGAUCAGUAGCUGGUCUGAGAGGACGGACCAGCCACACUGGGACUGAGACACGGCCCAGACUCCUACGGGAGGCAGCAGUGGGGAAUUUUGGACAAUGGGGGCAACCCUGAUCCAGCAAUGCC